AUUCCAAGUGUUUUAUGUAGAUAUGAAAAUAAAUCUGCGCAUGGUCAGUUUAAAAAUGUUUUCAGUGUUUAUUCUCAAAUGAUUUGACAAAACGUGCCAUGGAGAUAAAAAAACCAAAUUAAUAUAUUCGACGUUUUUUGCGUCAUUCUUCUGAAAAUAUAUUAAUAAAAAAAGAAAAUGUGGUAUGAUUGCAAAUAACACAAUGCUCCACAAAUGACCAAUUGACACUGGAAAUUAUUAACUAUGGGUCACCGUACUGCCUACAACAAUGAGCAAAUCCCAUACCGCAUACACAACUAUAAAAGGUCCCGAAAGGACAAAUGUAACACAAUUCAAACUAGAAAAUAAUAAAAAAAAAAAUAAUUAAUGAAAAACAAAUGUGUGACUCUUUUGCAAACAACAACCACUUUAAAUUACAUACUCCUGAGUUGAGACAGGACCCGUUACAGCGCUCGACUGAUACCGUUACUUAUUCGUUCCUUAUACGUUGAAACACAUUGCACCUAUUACGAAACAAAUCUUUUCAAUUGUUUUCUUGUCUCUGGUGUUAGCUAUAGGUUCUUAAAAGUGAAAUAUACCUAUUAGCGCGUAUGUUCCAGUUUUAGCGUUAGACCGAUGACCUGCUACUUAUUCGCUUACAAUAUGCUUGUUAUAGGUCGCACCUUUUUUGUUCUUGUCUCUGAUGCUAUAUAUUGGUUCUAAGAGAUAAAAUAACCCUAUUCUAAGGCGUAAAUACUCGUUUCAGUGCUCGACUGAUGCCCUGUUACUUAUUCGUUCCAUAUUCUCUUACUAUACGUGUGAUAUUCGGUGCACCUUUUUAAAACAAUAUCUUUUCAAUUGUAUUCAUUCAGUAUUUUUUUUACUGUAGAUUACUCAUCUUCAAACGAAAUGAGCGUAAUAAGUAAUUUUUUUCUGACAAUUUUUUUUUU
Molecule: long non-coding RNA, 929 nt
Filed under: Mytilus galloprovincialis (Mediterranean mussel)
Lineage: Eukaryota; Metazoa; Mollusca; Bivalvia; Mytilida; Mytilidae
Source: RNAcentral